UACGUAGGGUGCAAGCGUUAAUCGGAAUUACUGGGCGUAAAGCGUGCGCAGGCGGUUGUGCAAGACAGGUGUGAAAUCCCCGGGCUUAACCUGGGAACUGCAUUUGUGACUGCACGGCUAGAGUGUGUCAGAGGGGGGUAGAAUUCCACGUGUAGCAGUGAAAUGCGUAGAUAUGCGGAGGAACACCGAUGGCGAAGGCAAUCCCCUGGGCCUGCACUGACGCUCAUGCACGAAAGCGUGGGGAGCAAACAGG
RNAcentral lists this ribosomal RNA (253 nucleotides) under uncultured bacterium. RNAcentral describes it as "partial 16S ribosomal RNA". It matches the Rfam family "Bacterial small subunit ribosomal RNA", at positions 524 to 776 of the family's 1533-position model. The record is from RNAcentral.